RNAcentral lists this ribosomal RNA (651 nucleotides) under uncultured bacterium. RNAcentral describes it as "bacterial SSU rRNA". It matches the Rfam family "Bacterial small subunit ribosomal RNA", at positions 202 to 842 of the family's 1533-position model. The record is from RNAcentral.
AGAUGGCUUUAGCUAUCACUCUGGGAUGGACCUGCGGUGCAUUAGCUAGUUGGUAAGGUAACGGCUUACCAAGGCGAUGAUGCAUAGCCGAGUUGAGAGACUGAUCGGCCACAAUGGAACUGAGACACGGUCCAUACUCCUACGGGAGGCAGCAGUAGGGAAUCUUCCACAAUGGGCGCAAGCCUGAUGGAGCAACACCGCGUGAGUGAAGAAGGGUUUCGGCUCGUAAAGCUCUGUUGUUGGAGAAGAACGUGCGUGAGAGUAACUGUUCACGCAGUGACGGUAUCCAACCAGAAAGUCACGGCUAACUACGUGCCAGCAGCCGCGGUAAUACGUAGGUGGCAAGCGUUAUCCGGAUUUAUUGGGCGUAAAGCGAGCGCAGGCGGUUGCUUAGGUCUGAUGUGAAAGCCUUCGGCUUAACCGAAGAAGUGCAUCGGAAACCGGGCAACUUGAGUGCAGAAGAGGACAGUGGAACUCCAUGUGUAGCGGUGGAAUGCGUAGAUAUAUGGAAGAACACCAGUGGCGAAGGCGGCUGUCUGGUCUGCAACUGACGCUGAGGCUCGAAAGCAUGGGUAGCGAACAGGAUUAGAUACCCUGGUAGUCCAUGCCGUAAACGAUGAGUGCUAGGUGUUGGAGGGUUUCCGCCCUUCA